This 253-nucleotide ribosomal RNA is filed under the name uncultured bacterium. Its description in RNAcentral is "partial 16S ribosomal RNA". It matches the Rfam family "Bacterial small subunit ribosomal RNA", at positions 524 to 776 of the family's 1533-position model. The record is from RNAcentral.
UACGGGGGGGGUAAGCGUUGUUCGGAAUUACUGGGCGUAAAGGGCUCGUAGGCGGCCAACUAAGUCAUACGUGAAAUCCCUCAGCUUAACUGGGGAACUGCGUGUGAUACUGGAUGGCUUGGAUUUGGGAGAGGGAUGCGGAAUUCCAGGUGUAGCGGUGAAAUGCGUAGAUAUCUGGAGGAACACCGGUGGCGAAGGCGGCAUUCUGGACCGAAACUGACGCUGAGGCGCGAAAGCCAGGGGAGCAAACGGG